GUCAGGAUGGCCGAGCGGUCUAAGGCGCCAGACUCAAGGUUUCCUUGCCUGUCAAUUGCGGGUUCUGAGCAUUCUGGUCCUCUUUGAGGGCGUGGGUUCGAAUCCCACUUCUGACA
This is a non-coding RNA of Dendroctonus ponderosae (mountain pine beetle), 116 nucleotides long. NCBI's taxonomy places the organism in Eukaryota, Metazoa, Arthropoda, Insecta, Coleoptera, Curculionidae. The record is from Rfam.